Molecule: ribosomal RNA, 436 nt
Filed under: uncultured bacterium
Lineage: Bacteria
Description: partial 16S ribosomal RNA
Rfam family: Bacterial small subunit ribosomal RNA
Source: RNAcentral
AACGAACGCUGGCGGCAUGCCUAACACAUGCAAGUCGAACGAGAUCCUUCGGGGUCUAGUGGCGCACGGGUGCGUAACGCGUGGGAAUCUGCCCUUAGGUUCGGAAUAACAGUUAGAAAUGACUGCUAAUACCGGAUGAUGACGUUAAGUCCAAAGAUUUAUCGCCUGAGGAUGAGCCCGCGUAGGAUUAGCUAGUUGGUGUGGUAAAGGCGCACCAAGGCGACGAUCCUUAGCUGGUCUGAGAGGAUGGUCAGCCACACUGGGACUGAGACACGGCCCAGACUCCUACGGGAGGCAGCAGUGGGGAAUAUUGGACAAUGGGCGCAAGCCUGAUACAGCAAUGCCGCGUGAGUGAUGAAGGCCUUAGGGUUGUAAAGCUCUUUUACCCGAGAUGAUAAUGACAGUAUCGGGAGAAUAAGCCCCGGCUAACUCCGUG